CCUACGGGAGGCAGCAGUGAGGAAUAUUGGACAAUGGGCGGGAGCCUGAUCCAGCCAUGCCGCGUGCAGGAAGACUGCCCUAUGGGUUGUAAACUGCUUUUGUACAGGAAGAAACACUCCCUCGUGAGGGAGCUUGACGGUACUGUAAGAAUAAGGAUCGGCUAACUCCGUGCCAGCAGCCGCGGUAAUACGGAGGAUCCAAGCGUUAUCCGGAAUCAUUGGGUUUAAAGGGUCCGUAGGUGGAUGAUUAAGUCAGAGGUGAAAUCCUGCAGCUCAACUGUAGAAUUGCCUUUGAUACUGGUUGUCUUGAAUUAUUGUGAAGUAGUUAGAAUAUGUGGUGUAGCGGUGAAAUGCAUAGAUAUCACAUAGAAUACCGAUUGCGAAGGCAGAUUACUAACAAUACAUUGACACUGAUGGACGAAAGCGUGGGGAGCGAACAG
This 440-nucleotide ribosomal RNA is filed under the name uncultured bacterium. Its description in RNAcentral is "bacterial SSU rRNA". It matches the Rfam family "Bacterial small subunit ribosomal RNA", at positions 338 to 775 of the family's 1533-position model. The record is from RNAcentral.